This 720-nucleotide ribosomal RNA is filed under the name uncultured marine bacterium. RNAcentral's name for it is "bacterial SSU rRNA". It matches the Rfam family "Bacterial small subunit ribosomal RNA", at positions 55 to 820 of the family's 1533-position model. The record is from RNAcentral.
AUGCAAGUCGAACGGGGUAGCAAUACCUAGUGGCAGACGGGUGAGUAACAUGUGGGUAUCUUCCCUUUGGUGAGGAAUAACACGAGGAAACUUGUGCUAAUACCUCAUAAGUCUUUACGGAGAAAGCUUUAUGCGCCAAUGGAUGAGCCCGCACUUGAUUAGUUAGUUGGUAGGGUAAUGGCCUACCAAGACUUUGAUCAAUAGCUGAUUUGAGAGGAUGAUCAGCCACAUUGGGACUGAGACACGGCCCAAACUCCUACGGGAGGCAGCAGUAGGGAAUCUUGCACAAUGGAGGAAACUCUGAUGCAGCGAUGCCGCGUGAGUGAAGAAGGCCUUUGGGUUGUAAAGCUCUUUCGUCGGGGAAGAAAAUGACUGUACCCGAAUAAGAAGGUCCGGCUAACUUCGUGCCAGCAGCCGCGGUAAUACGAAGGGACCUAGCGUAGUUCGGAAUUACUGGGCUUAAAGAGUUCGUAGGUGGUUAAAAAAGUUGGUGGUGAAAUCCCAGAGCUUAACUCUGGAACUGCCAUCAAAACUUUUUAGCUAGAGUUUGAUAGAGGAAAGCAGAAUUUCUAGUGUAGAGGUGAAAUUCGUAGAUAUUAGAAAGAAUACCGAUUGCGAAGGCAGCUUUCUGGAUCAUUACUGACACUGAGGAACGAAAGCAUGGGUAGCGAAGAGGAUUAGAUACCCUCGUAGUCCAUGCCGUAAACGAUGUGUGUUAGA